RNAcentral lists this ribosomal RNA (813 nucleotides) under uncultured bacterium. RNAcentral's name for it is "bacterial SSU rRNA". It matches the Rfam family "Bacterial small subunit ribosomal RNA", at positions 613 to 1427 of the family's 1533-position model. The record is from RNAcentral.
CCUGGGAACUGCGUUNUGAACUGGGUGACUAGAGUGUGUCAGAGGGAGGUAGAAUUCCACGUGUAGCAGUGAAAUGCGUAGAGAUGUGGAGGAAUACCGAUGGCGAAGGCAGCCUCCUGGGAUAACACUGACGUUCAUGCUNGAAAGCGUGGGUAGCAAACAGGAUUAGAUACCCUGGUAGUCCACGCCCUAAACGAUGUCGAUUAGCUGUUGGGCAACUUGAUUGCUUAGUAGCGUAGCUAACGCGUGAAAUUGACCGCCUGGGGAGUACGGUCGCAAGAUUAAAACUCAAAGGAAUUGACGGGGACCCGCACAAGCGGUGGAUGAUGUGGAUUAAUUCGAUGCAACGCGAAGAACCUUACCUGGUCUCGACAUGUACGGAAUCCUCCAGAGACGGAGGAGUGCCUUCGGGAGCCGUAACACAGGUGCUGCAUGGCUGUCGUCAGCUCGUGUCGUGAGAUGUUGGGUUAAGUCCCGCAACGAGCGCAACCCUUGUCAUUAGUUGCCAUCAUUUAGUUGGGCACUCUAAUGAGACUGCCGGUGACAAGCCAGAGGAAGGUGGGGAUGACGUCAAGUCCUCAUGGCCCUUAUGACCAGGGCUUCACACGUCAUACAAUGGUCGGUACAGAGGGUAGCCAAGCCGCGAGGUGGAGCCAAUCUCACAAAACCGAUCGUAGUCCGGAUUGCACUCUGCAACUCGAGUGCAUGAAGUCGGAAUCGCUAGUAAUCGCAGGUCAGCAUACUGCGGUGAAUACGUUCCCGGGUCUUGUACACACCGCCCGUCACACCAUGGGAGUGGGGGAUACCAGAAGU